Carica papaya (papaya) is the source of this 607-nucleotide non-coding RNA. Lineage: Eukaryota; Viridiplantae; Streptophyta; Magnoliopsida; Brassicales; Caricaceae. The record is from RefSeq and is a predicted model, not a curated record.
UAUAUGUUCCAAGAUAAAGGCUUAGUAACUGUGUGGUCUGCACCAAAUUACUGCUACCGGUGUGGGAACGUAGCUUCUAUAUUGAGCUUCAAUGACAAUAUGGAAAGAGAAGUGAAGUUCUUCACUGAAACAGAGGAGAACAACCAGAUGAGAGGACCCAGAGCAGGAGUUCCUUAUUUCUUAUGAUAAGACGGAAUUAUCUGCUGCAUUACUUGUACGAUUAUCAAAGUACUGCAAAGAAGCCUUGAAGAAAGUAUCCAUUACAUUGUUUGCAGUUUGACAUUUCUUUUGCUUGGGUGGAAAUCCUGCACAUCUGGUCCAGGCUGUUUCUAAGGAUUCCGCGGGUUUGUGUAUUAGAUUGAUGUAUCUCACCGUAAUUAUUUGUCAGUUAGUGUCUCAAUAUCUUCUUUGUUAGGGCAUAGUUUUGAAACAUUCCAAAUAGCAUGUGGCUUACUCAAUCGUGAAUUUGUCCACUAUAUUUUUACUUACGUGUCAGCUAUCUUCCAUUUCUUGUUGGAACAACUUGGAUUCUAAAUUGAAUUUUUGUUAUUCUUAAAUAUGUUGUUUUCUUAUACGGAGUGAAUUACUAGGUGUGUUGCUUUCUUCA